CGGACAGGUAAGUUGGGCGUGAAAGCUCCGGGCCCAACCCGGAGAGGUCGUUCAAUACUGCGUGUCUAGAGGGUGUCAGAGGGGAGUGGAAUUUCCGGAGUAGCGGUAAAAUGCGCAGAGAUCGGAAAGAACACCAAUGGCGAAGGCAGCUCCCUGGGGCAACCCUGACGCUAAGAGACGAAAGCUAGGGGAGCGAACAGGAUUAGAGACCCUGGUAGUCCUAGCCCUAAACGAUGGAUGCUGGAUGUGGGGCCAUAGCGCUCCGUGUCGAAGCGAACGCGUUAAGCAUCCCGCCUGGGGACUACGGCCGCAAGGUUAAAACUCAAACGAAUUGACGGGACCCCGCACAAGCAGCGGAGCGUGUGGUUUAAUUCGAUGCUACACGAAGAACCUUACCUGGGUUUGACAUCUAGGUGGUAGUGAAGCGAAAGCGGAGCGACCCUUCGGGGAGCCUAGACAGGUGCUGCAUGGCUGUCGUCAGCUCGUGCCGUGAGGUGUCGGGUUAAGUCCCGUAACGAGCGCAACCCUUGCCCUCCGUUAUACGUGUCAGAGGGGACUGCCGGCGGUAAGCCGGAGGAAGGUGGGGAUGACGUCAAGUCAGCAUGGCCUUUAUAUCCAGGGCUACACACACGCUACAAUGGCCAGUACAAAGGGCAGCGAAGCCGCGAGGUGGAGCGAAUCCCAGCAAAGCUGGUCGUAGUUCGGAUUGCAGGCUGCAACCCGCCUGCAUGAAGCUGGAGUUGCUAGUAACCGCGCGUCAGCCAUAGUGCGGUGAAUACGUUCCCGGGGUUUGUACACACCGCCCGUCACGUCAUGGGAGUCGAUAACGCCUGAAGCCGGUGGCCUAGCUCGGAAGAGAGGGCGCUGUCUAAGGCGGGGUCGGUGACUGGGACGAAGUCGUAACAAG
RNAcentral lists this ribosomal RNA (907 nucleotides) under uncultured organism. RNAcentral's name for it is "bacterial SSU rRNA". It matches the Rfam family "Bacterial small subunit ribosomal RNA", at positions 576 to 1495 of the family's 1533-position model. The record is from RNAcentral.